Molecule: non-coding RNA, 290 nt
Organism: Paramuricea clavata
Lineage: Eukaryota; Metazoa; Cnidaria; Anthozoa; Malacalcyonacea; Plexauridae
Source: the annotation of a GenBank genome assembly
UUUUAAGACAAAUCAAGUUUGAAAGGCGAGCUACCAGCCGACGCAAGACGUGCUUUGGGCGAAGAAAAAACGUGGAAAAAUUUCACAGAAUGGCAAAGGAAAAAAUAUCUAUUAAAUUUCACGUGUAUUGAAUGGUUUCCAGCCGUAGUGAGUUGUUUACAGCAAGCAAACAACACCAUGCGAAAAUUUGCAUACCUGGCAACCAUAGUUAAAAGUGGUCAAUUGUUUAUCUGGCAAGCACAGUUACCAUUGGUGAAGAAUCAUAGUUUUAUGUACAGAGCUGUGGCUGG